UCGAGCCGUGUGCGGCGAAAGUCGCAUGCACGGUUCCAAGGGGGCUUGGGACUGGCAACGGUCCCCGGCUACCCGAU
RNAcentral lists this non-coding RNA (77 nucleotides) under Syntrophobacter sp. SbD1. Lineage: Bacteria; Pseudomonadati; Thermodesulfobacteriota; Syntrophobacteria; Syntrophobacterales; Syntrophobacteraceae. The record is from RNAcentral.